This 121-nucleotide ribosomal RNA is filed under the name uncultured bacterium. RNAcentral's name for it is "partial 16S ribosomal RNA". It matches the Rfam family "Bacterial small subunit ribosomal RNA", at positions 628 to 748 of the family's 1533-position model. The record is from RNAcentral.
UGAAACUGGGGAUCUUGAGGGCAGGAGAGGAAAGCAGAAUUCCUGGUGUAGCGGUGAAAUGCGUAGAAAUCAGGAGGAAUACCAGUGGCGAAGGCGGCUGUCUGGACUGUCCCUGACGCUG